UGAGGAAUAUUGGUCAAUGGACGCAAGUCUGAACCAGCCAAGUAGCGUGCAGGAUGACGGCCCUAUGGGUUGUAAACUGCUUUUAUAUGGGGAUAAAGUGGGGAACGUGUUUCCUUUUGCAGGUACCAUAUGAAUAAGGACCGGCUAAUUCCGUGCCAGCAGCCGCGGUAAUACGGAAGGUUCGGGCGUUAUCCGGAUUUAUUGGGUUUAAAGGGAGCGUAGGCCGUUUGGUAAGCGUGUUGUGAAAUGUAGGAGCUCAACUUCUAGAUUGCAGCGCGAACUGUCAGACUUGAGUGCGCACAACGUAGGCGGAAUUCAUGGUGUAGCGGUGAAAUGCUUAGAUAUCAUGAAGAACUCCGAUUGCGAAGGCAGCUUACGGGAGCGCAACUGACGCUGAAGCUCGAAGGUGCGGGUAUCGAACAGG
Molecule: ribosomal RNA, 424 nt
Filed under: Verrucomicrobiota bacterium
Lineage: Bacteria; Pseudomonadati; Verrucomicrobiota
Description: Verrucomicrobia bacterium partial 16S ribosomal RNA
Rfam family: Bacterial small subunit ribosomal RNA
Source: RNAcentral